Molecule: ribosomal RNA, 505 nt
Filed under: uncultured bacterium
Lineage: Bacteria
Description: partial 16S ribosomal RNA
Rfam family: Bacterial small subunit ribosomal RNA
Source: RNAcentral
GACGAACGCUGGCGGCGUGCCUAAUACAUGCAAGUAGAACGCACAGUUUAUACCGUAGCUUGCUACACCAUAGACUGUGAGUUGCGAACGGGUGAGUAACGCGUAGGUAACCUGCCUGGUAGCGGGGGAUAACUAUUGGAAACGAUAGCUAAUACCGCAUAAUAUUAAUUAUUGCAUGAUAAUUAAUUGAAAGGUGCAAUUGCACCACUACCAGAUGGACCUGCGUUGUAUUAGCUAGUAGGUGAGGUAACGGCUCACCUAGGCGACGAUACAUAGCCGACCUGAGAGGGUGAUCGGCCACACUGGGACUGAGACACGGCCCAGACUACUACGGGAGGCAGCAGUAGGGAAUCUUCGGCAAUGGACGAAAGUCUGACCGAGCAACGCCGCGUGAGUGAAGAAGGUUUUCGGAUCGUAAAGCUCUGUUGUAAGAGAAGAACGGGUGUGAGAGUGGAAAGUUCACACUGUGACGGUAUCUUACCAGAAAGGGACGGCUAACUACGUG